AUGCUUAGAAGAAUGUACCAAGGAGGUUCCUCGGCAAAGAAAGGGCCAAGGAUUGCUAUACGUGAACAAGAUAUUAAAUUGCCAAGGGACGCAAAUGUACGGGCUUGUGAGUGGCCAUCCGAUGAUUUUAUGGUCGAAGCAGGCUUCAAGGAAGAAUUUGACGCGCAUGUGCGUAAUGCCGAGCUGGAGGACUUCUUACAAGAUAAGUGUCCUCAAUAUUAUCAGUUGACCGAUUCCUUUGUGCAGAGGUUCAAAUAUAUUUCUGCGCGUAAUUCUCCUAGUGUCAUGUUUGAUAUUUAUGAUACAUCUUAUACCAUGGAUUUAGAGGAUUUCACAACUGCUUGCAAACUCCCAUAG
Molecule: ribosomal RNA, 357 nt
Filed under: Triticum aestivum (bread wheat)
Lineage: Eukaryota; Viridiplantae; Streptophyta; Magnoliopsida; Poales; Poaceae
Description: partial small subunit ribosomal RNA
Source: RNAcentral